Molecule: ribosomal RNA, 466 nt
Filed under: uncultured bacterium
Lineage: Bacteria
Description: bacterial SSU rRNA
Rfam family: Bacterial small subunit ribosomal RNA
Source: RNAcentral
UUCCCAGACUCCUACGGGAGGCAGCAGUGAGGAAUAUUGGUCAAUGGGAGGAAUCCUGAACCAGCCAUGCCGCGUGCGGGACGACGGCUCUACGAGUUGUAAACUGCUUUUGUACCGGGGUAAAAUGCCUUACGAGUAGGGUUUUGAAAGUACGGUACGAAUAAGGAUCGGCUAACUCCGUGCCAGCAGCCGCGGUAAUACGGAGGAUGCGAGCGUUAUCCGGAUUUAUUGGGUUUAAAGGGUGCGCAGGCGGCACGGCAGGCCGGCGGUCAAAUCGCGGGGCUCAACCCCGCCCAGCCGUCGGAACUGCCGGGCUAGAGUGGGCGAGAAGUGCGCGGAAUGCGUGGUGUAGCGGUGAAAUGCAUAGAUAUCACGCAGAACUCCGAUUGCGAAGGCAGCGCACCGGCGCCCUACUGACGCUCAGGCACGAAAGCGUGGGUAUCGAACAGGAUUAGAUACCCGAGUA